RNAcentral lists this ribosomal RNA (809 nucleotides) under uncultured Actinomycetes bacterium. RNAcentral describes it as "bacterial SSU rRNA". It matches the Rfam family "Bacterial small subunit ribosomal RNA", at positions 67 to 883 of the family's 1533-position model. The record is from RNAcentral. Lineage: Bacteria; Bacillati; Actinomycetota; Actinomycetes.
CGGGGUCCAUCCAGUGGCAACACUGGUGAAGAUCUAGUGGCGAACGGGUGCGUAACACGUGAGGAACCUACCCCGAUCUCAGGAAUAACAGUGGGAAACCACUGCUAAUACCGGAUGUCUUCCCCGAGUCGCAUGGCUCGGCGAAGAAAGGGUUACCGGAUCGGGACGGCCUCGCGGCCUAUCAGCUUGUUGGCGGGGUAACGGCCCACCAAGGCGUCGACGGGUAGCUGGUCUGAGAGGAUGAUCAGCCACACUGGGACUGAGACACGGCCCAGACUCCUACGGGAGGCAGCAGUGGGGAAUCUUGCGCAAUGGGCGAAAGCCUGACGCAGCAACGCCGCGUGGGGGAUGAAGGCCCUCGGGUUGUAAACCCCUUUCAGCAGGAACGAAUCUGACGGUACCUGCAGAAGAAGGCCCGGCCAACUACGUGCCAGCAGCCGCGGUAAUACGUAGGGGCCAAGCGUUGUCCGGAUUUAUUGGGCGUAAAGAGCUCGUAGGCGGUUGGGUAAGUCGGGUGUGAAAACUCCAGGCUCAACUUGGAGACGCCACCCGAUACUGCUCUGACUUGAGUUCGGUAGGGGAGUGGGGAAUUCCUGGUGUAGCGGUGAAAUGCGCAGAUAUCAGGAGGAACACCGGUGGCGAAGGCGCCACUCUGGGCCGAAACUGACGCUGAGGAGCGAAAGCGUGGGUAGCAAACAGGAUUAGAUACCCUGGUAGUCCACGCCGUAAACGUUGGGCACUAGGUGUGGGCCCUAACCAACGGGGUCCGUGCCGUAGCUAACGCAUUAAGUGCCCCGCCUGGGGAGUAC